This 433-nucleotide ribosomal RNA is filed under the name uncultured bacterium. RNAcentral's name for it is "partial 16S ribosomal RNA". It matches the Rfam family "Bacterial small subunit ribosomal RNA", at positions 28 to 507 of the family's 1533-position model. The record is from RNAcentral.
GACGAACGCUGGCGGCAUGCCUAACACAUGCAAGUCGAACGGUACCUUCGGGUCUAUUUGCGCAGGGGUGGGUGACGCGGGGGCAGCUACCCGCAGGUUCGGUAUCCUUCACAGUAAUUUGAGCUAAUACCGGAUGAGGACGUAAGUCAAACGAUUUAUUGCCUGAGGGUGAGGCUGGGUAGGAUUAGGUAGUUGGUGGGGUAAAGGCUCACCAAGCCGACGAUGCUUAGCUGGUCUGAGAGGAUGAUCAGCCACGCUGGGGCUGAGACACGGCCCCGACUCCUACGGGAGGCAGCAGUGGGGAAUAUUGUACAAUGGGCGAAAGCCUGAUCCAGCAAUGCCGCGUGAGUGAUGAAGGCCUUAGGGUUGUAAAGCUCUUUUACCCGGGAUGAUAAUGACGGUACCGGGAGAAUAAGCGCCGGCUAACUACGUG